RNAcentral lists this unclassified non-coding RNA (186 nucleotides) under uncultured Hypocreales. Its description in RNAcentral is "sequence contains ITS2". The record is from RNAcentral. Lineage: Eukaryota; Fungi; Ascomycota; Sordariomycetes; Hypocreales.
CAACCCUCAGGCCCCCAGUGCCUGGCGUUGGAGAUCGGCCGCACGGCGCAGUCCCCUCCGGGGGGCCGCCGCCGGGCCGGCUCCGAAAUCUAGUGGCGGUCUCGCUGUAGUCCUCCUCUGCGUAGUAGCACAACCUCGCAGUUGGAACGCGGUGAUGGCCAUGCCGUUAAACACCCCACUUCUGAA